This 120-nucleotide ribosomal RNA is filed under the name uncultured bacterium. RNAcentral's name for it is "partial 16S ribosomal RNA". It matches the Rfam family "Bacterial small subunit ribosomal RNA", at positions 28 to 139 of the family's 1533-position model. The record is from RNAcentral.
GACGAACGCUGGCGGCGUGCUUAACACAUGCAAGUCGAGCGAGGUCCUACCGGUGGCAACACCGGGAAAGACCUAGCGGCGAACGGGUGAGUAACACGUGAGGAACCUGCCCCGAAGACC